AUGUGCUCAGACUGUUUUAGGUGCUGGGGACUCUAUACUGAAACGGGAGAGGCAAAAUCCCUGCCCUUACGGAAUUUACCAUCCAGGGGCAGAGCCAAUGAUCAGGUAACGAUGUCUUUGCGAUUUAAUUUGGGUUUUUUUUGGCCUCAACGCGGCAUGUGGGAUCUUAGUUCCUCCACCAGGGAUCAAACCCAUUCCCCCUGCGGUGGAAGUGCGGAGUCCUAACUACUGGACUGCCAGGGAAGUCCCACGAUGUCUUCGUGCUUCAGUUUUUCAAAGAACUUAUGCUUCAUUGCCUCAAACAGGCCAUUUAACGGAUUGUUUCUCAUCAAGGACUGAGGUGCUGCAUUGUUUUGUAAAUGUAGGUUACAUUUGGCAGUGGACGUUGCAACCCAUUUUUGAAAAUAAUGACAGUAGUUACCACUUACUGAGUGCUUUCUACAUGCCUGGUGCUGUACUGGGUACUUUAUAUCCAUUUAUUAUGUUUAAUCUCCACAACUGUGGAAUCGGCAUCACUAUCCCCAUUUAUUGAUGAAGAAACAGGCUGGGGACUGUGUACCUUGCCCAAGGUCACCUGGCUUAGAAAGUGCUGAGUGUCUGACAUGCUUGUCACCAUCAUCUCAUGCUGCUCAUGAAGGAUCUUGAGGGGAGAGUUUAGGGCCGUCUGCUAACCCACGAAGAACCAAUAGUGAACACCGAGCGGCCUUUAUUCCUUGAGUUACGUGCCUUUGGUAAAAAUCACUUUGAGCCGAGUUUCUGUGUGUGUGUCAAAGGGGGACAUGGCUGAUUUGUACUGUCCAGCUGACAAGCGUUUACUCGUCUCUCAAAGGUGCAUCAGUGGGCUUCCCUGGUGGCGCAGCAGUUGAGAGCCCGCCUGCCGAUGCAGGGGACACGGGUUCGUGCCCCGGUCCGGGAAGAUCCCACAUGCCGCGGAGCGGCUGGGCCCGUGAGCCAUGGCCGCGGAGCCUGUGCUCCGCGACGGGAGAGGCCACAACAGUGAGAGGCCCGCGUAAGGCAAAAAAAAAAAAAAAAAAAAAAAAAAAAAAAGUGAAUCAGUUGUCACAGGAUGGGAGGCAGGAAAUGCCUCUGCAUUCCAAGUGACCUCCUGGCUAAAGUCGAGUUAGUCAUGCCCUCUUCCAGCCUCAUGGAGCCCUUGUUCAGGCCCGGAAGAGCAGUUGGCAUGAGCCCUGCACUUGUGGUGCAAGGGACCCGCCCUUGUAAGGACAGCACUGUUUUGUACAGUUAUUUCUGUGUCUGCAGAACCUAGCGUGCAGAUAUGGUACAUGUCUGUGAUUCGAAUGACAGGACAAGGGCCCUGCUCAGCCACCAAAGCUGUGGCCAGAGCACCUGAUCUCUUGAUAUAAGACCCAGUGGGCAGAGCUGUGUCAUAGACAGGAAUGGGAUGGGGUGGGAACUGGGUCUCUGAGUUCAGA
RNAcentral lists this long non-coding RNA (1433 nucleotides) under Physeter macrocephalus (sperm whale). RNAcentral describes it as "Physeter catodon (sperm whale) lncRNA (ENSPCTG00005022227.1)". The record is from RNAcentral. Lineage: Eukaryota; Metazoa; Chordata; Mammalia; Artiodactyla; Physeteridae.